AACUUCAACAGUGAUGGGUCAUCAGAGUCUAAUAUUUAGGGAUGAUUCAAAGACAGAUAAUCUGAUCUGCCUCACAACAGCCUUAUGCUUCACCUACUUUAAAAGAGCUACUUCUAAUUUGUACCAAAACAAGAUCAGCAUCAGGUCCCUGGAUUCCAGCAAAAAAAGUCCCACAGCACCAAGACAAUGUUAUAAAGUAUCGUAUACCACAUACACUUGAGGACAGAAGGGGAGAAAUUUCCACACCAUGGAAAACAACAGCACUGGCUGAAUAAGAAGAGUCUACAAAGACAUCAUGAAUUAGCAGGAAACUACUUUGGAAAGAUAAGAUAUUAAACAUUUUCUGUGGGGAAUAAGAACACUGGAGAUUAUUUACUUUGCUUUAAUUACUUUGGCACACUGCUAGAUUAGUUUUUGUACGUUACUAGAUUUCCAUACCAUCAUUUAACAAAUGCAAAGAAGCGAGUUCAUGUUCUGAAUAUUUAAAGUUCACCCUAUCCAUAUUAUCAUGUCCUGUGCUGGAGUUUCUGCUACUCAAUUCACAAAUAAAUAAGAGGGCUACAGCUUCACUUUAAAAAUUAUUACUACUACAGUGAUGCAAGCAGCACCCUUAAUUUCUGGGUAUGUCUUUCUCACUUGCCUUGCAUCUAUCUAGAUGCAUUUUGACAAGAAUUCACUGUUAACAUAUACAAUAUCAAGCAAGGAUAAACAUCAACUUUCACAGAUGCUUUUGAUCUAGAUUACAUUAGGUCAUCCUCCACUCGUCUGAACACUUCAUUUUGAUGGAAAAUUGAUAAUAAGCCAAUUUCCAGAGGGCUAUAACUUAUAAAAACACAGUGUAACUAAUACGUGUAAGAAGUUUCCAUGAAGGCUUUAUGAAGUGUUUAAUAGGCUUUAUAGUUACAGACCAUAUUACUGAACAACAAUAAUAAAAUAGCAGUUUUAGACUCUCCAAUAACUAGAGCACACAUAAACCCAUGAUAUGUAUAAAAAAUAUCACUAGUCCCAUGGUUUUGAUACUAAGAUGAGAUUUAUGAGAGCCUGUGCGGAAAUAAAGAUCUUGUCUUUUCCUUGGCUCUUGCCUAUUGCAAACCACUUAAUGACUGCCAUUUACAAGAAAUCCAAAAUUUCCUGCCUUGAAAAGAGCUGUCUGUACCAAAAA
Taeniopygia guttata (zebra finch) is the source of this 1162-nucleotide non-coding RNA. The record is from RefSeq and is a predicted model, not a curated record. NCBI's taxonomy places the organism in Eukaryota, Metazoa, Chordata, Aves, Passeriformes, Estrildidae.